AUUGAACGCUGGCGGCAGGCCUAACACAUGCAAGUCGAGCGAGCGGCGGACGGGUGAGUAAUGUCUGGGAAACUGCCUGAUGGAGGGGGAUAACUACUGGAAACGGUAGCUAAUCCCGCAUACUAUCGGAUGACCCCAUAUGGUAUUAGCUAGUAGGUGGGGUAACGGCUCACCUAGGCGACGAUCCCUAGCUGGUCUGAGAGGAUGAACAGCUACACGGGAACUGAGCCACGGUCCAUACUCCUACGGGAGGCAGAAGUGGGGAAUAUUGCAAAAUGGGCGCAAGCCUGAUGCAGCCAUGCGUCGGGUGUGAAGAAGGCCUUAGGGUUGUAAAGUACUUUCAGUCGGGAGGCGUGACCCGCAGAAGAAGCACCGGCUAACUCCGUGCCAGCAGCCGCGGUAAGAG
This 406-nucleotide ribosomal RNA is filed under the name uncultured bacterium. Its description in RNAcentral is "partial 16S ribosomal RNA". It matches the Rfam family "Bacterial small subunit ribosomal RNA", at positions 30 to 526 of the family's 1533-position model. The record is from RNAcentral.